RNAcentral lists this ribosomal RNA (78 nucleotides) under Kocuria marina subsp. indica. The record is from RNAcentral. Lineage: Bacteria; Bacillati; Actinomycetota; Actinomycetes; Micrococcales; Micrococcaceae.
CCGAACCCGGUAGCUAAGACCCACAGCGCUGAUGGUACUGCACUCGGAAGGGUGUGGGAGAGUAAGACACCGCCGGGA